GGUUUAAUUCGAUGAUACGCGAGGAACCUUACCCGGGCUUAAAUUGCAACAGAAUAUAUUGGAAACAGUAUAGCCGUAAGGCUGUUGUGAAGGUGCUGCAUGGUUGUCGUCAGCUCGUGCCGUGAGGUGUCGGCUUAAGUGCCAUAACGAGCGCAACCCUUAUCUUUAGUUACUAACAGGUCAUGCUGAGGACUCUAGAGAGACUGCGUCGUAAGAUGUGA
RNAcentral lists this ribosomal RNA (221 nucleotides) under uncultured bacterium. RNAcentral's name for it is "partial 16S ribosomal RNA". It matches the Rfam family "Bacterial small subunit ribosomal RNA", at positions 943 to 1167 of the family's 1533-position model. The record is from RNAcentral.